AAAUUGAAGAGUUUGAUCAUGGCUCAGAUUGAACGCUGGCGGCAGGCCUAACACAUGCAAGUCGAACGGUAACAGGAAGAAGCUUGCUUCUUUGCUGACGAGUGGCGGACGGGUGAGUAAUGUCUGGGAAACUGCCUGAUGGAGGGGGAUAACUACUGGAAACGGUAGCUAAUACCGCAUAACGUCGCAAGACCAAAGAGGGGGACCUUCGGGCCUCUUGCCAUCGGAUGUGCCCAGAUGGGAUUAGCUAGUAG
Molecule: ribosomal RNA, 254 nt
Filed under: Escherichia coli
Lineage: Bacteria; Pseudomonadati; Pseudomonadota; Gammaproteobacteria; Enterobacterales; Enterobacteriaceae
Description: partial 16S ribosomal RNA
Rfam family: Bacterial small subunit ribosomal RNA
Source: RNAcentral